CUCAGGAGAAGGAACUCGGCAAAUUGAUACCGUAACUUCGGGAGAAGGUAUGCCCCGUUAGCUUGUAGGAGAACAUCCGAAGGGCGAAGGGGCCGCAGAGAAUCGGUGGCUGCGACUGUUUAUUAAAAACACAGCACUCUGCAAACACGAAAGUGGACGUAUAGGGUGUGACGCCUGCCCGGUGCCGGAAGGUUAAGUGAUGGGGUGCAAGCUCUUGAUCGAAGCCCCGGUAAACGGCGGCCGUAACUAUAACGGUCCUAAGGUAGCGAAAUUCCUUGUCGGGUAAGUUCCGACCUGCACGAAUGGCGUAACGAUGGCCACACUGUCUCCUCCUGAGACUCAGCGAAGUUGAAGUGUUUGUGAAGAUGCAAUCUCCCCGCGGCUAGACGGAAAGACCCCAUGAACCUUUACUGUAGCUUUGCAUUGGACUUUGACGGGACUUGUGUAGGAUAGGUGGGAGGCGAUGAAACCGGGACGCUAGUUCCGGUGGAGCCAUCCUUGAAAUACCACCCUGGUGUCGUUGAGGUUCUAACCUAGGUCCGUAAUCCGGAUCGGGGACCGUGCAUGGUGGGCAGUUUGACUGGGGCGGUCUCCUCCCAAAAGGUAACGGAGGAGUACGAAGGUCUUCUAGGUACGGUCGGACAUCGUACUGAUAGUGCAAUGGCAAAAGAAGGCUUGACUGCGAGACCGACAAGUCGAGCAGGUGCGAAAGCAGGUCAUAGUGAUCCGGUGGUUCUGUAUGGAAGGGCCAUCGCUCAACGGAUAAAAGGUACUCUGGGGAUAACAGGCUGAUUCCGCCCAAGAGUUCACAUCGACGGCGGAGUUUGGCACCUCGAUGUCGGCUCAUCACAUCCUGGGGCUGUAGCCGGUCCCAAGGGUAUGGCUGUUCGCCAUUUAAAGUGGUACGUGAGCUGGGUUUAAAACGUCGUGAGACAGUUUGGUCCCUAUCUGCCGUGGGCGCUGGAUAUUUGAGGGGGCCUGCUCCUAGUACGAGAGGACCGGAGUGGACGAAUCUCUGGUGUACCGGUUGUGACGCCAGUCGCAUCGCCGGGUAGCUAAAUUCGGAAGAGAUAACCGCUGAAAGCAUCUAAGCGGGAAACUCGCCUCAAGAUGAGAUAUCCCUGGGAACUUGAUUCCCCUAAAGGGUCGUUGAAGACCACGACGUUGAUAGGCUGGGUGUGGAAGCGCAGUAAUGCGUUAAGCUAACCAGUACUAAUUGCCCGUGAGGCUUGAUCCU
RNAcentral lists this ribosomal RNA (1237 nucleotides) under activated sludge metagenome. RNAcentral's name for it is "bacterial LSU rRNA". It matches the Rfam family "Bacterial large subunit ribosomal RNA", at positions 1699 to 2925 of the family's 2925-position model. The record is from RNAcentral.